GUUCCCUCUCCUUUUGGCUAAGAUAAAGUAUGGUAUCUGUUCUUAUCAGUUUAAUAUUUGAUACAUCCUCUGUCCAGAAACCGUCUUUUUGAAAGCAGAAGGACUUCGCCUCUGUCAGGCUUCCUAUGGCCUUCUGUGCUGAUGUGGGGCCCGGCACUUGUGCUCAUCCCUGGAGGCUCCCCCC
Peromyscus californicus insignis is the source of this 184-nucleotide small nuclear RNA. RefSeq annotates it as U2 spliceosomal RNA. The record is from RefSeq and is a predicted model, not a curated record. NCBI's taxonomy places the organism in Eukaryota, Metazoa, Chordata, Mammalia, Rodentia, Cricetidae. The transcript has a single exon.